UUGAUUUUUUUAAAAGGUUACAACUAUAGGACAAAUACAAAUAAAUGCCCGAACGAUUACAAUGUAAAAUAAACUAUUACAACUCAAACGGAUUAAAAAUUGAAACAAUUAAGACAAAUGGUAACUAAGCAAAUUAAAAAAUUGCAUAUGGUGGGUUUUGUAAUACCCGAUUUUGGCCCGGGUCUAAAAUGCCCAAAUUACAAGCAGGCCUGUGUGGCCCAAAAUGAAAUAAAACAAAGGCCCAAAUACAGUGGCCCAAAACAGAUUCAUGAAACCCUAGGGUUUCAAGGGUGAACUCGCGCCGCAAGCCAAGCCUCGCCCUCCGAAUCUCUCGUGAUCGUGCCUACACAACAAAGGAAAGAAACAAAGCAAGAUAUGGCAAAAAAAUCUCGAAAUCAAAUCAAGCAGAUGCUGGAAGAUUUCUGUUUAUUUUUUUUCUUUAUUUUUCUUCUUGUUACACGAUUGCUGUAAAAGCAAUCUUAAAACACUGUAAAAGUGAAGGGAUUUUUGAAAAAAUAAAUAAAUAAAGAGACCUAUUAUUCACAGCAAAAUCCCGAGAGUCUAAUACGAAUAGCAAAUCGAUCUAAAGGUUGAUACUUGUAACUUUGAUUUAUUUUCUACUGUUAUAUUUAUUAUUUUUUUAAGCGAAUAAAACGAAGUAAGGGGAAAGAAGAGGAAAUUACCUGGGUCUUCAGAUCCGCAUGAAAAAGAGCCGAAAAGCCCCUUAGGGUGAGGUUCUAACCACCGUUCACGGUGGGAGCAUGGCGGAGAUUAGGCAGCUGAAACAGGGUAUAAAACCCUAGCAGAGAAAGUAGAGAGUUUUAGUUUUUUU
Molecule: long non-coding RNA, 832 nt
Filed under: Gossypium barbadense (sea-island cotton)
Lineage: Eukaryota; Viridiplantae; Streptophyta; Magnoliopsida; Malvales; Malvaceae
Description: long non-coding RNA (GBAR_LNC015575)
Source: RNAcentral